AGGGGUGCUACCGGGUGACCGGAUGCCGAUCUCGAAAACCUGUCCCAGUUCGGACUGGAGUCUGCAACCCGACUCCACGAAGUUGGAUUCGCUAGUAAUCGCGCAUCAGCCAUGGCGCGGUGAAUACGUUCCCGGGCCUUGUACACACCGCCCGUCAAGCCAUGGGAGCCGGGGGCGCCUGAAGUCCGGGACCGCGAGGACCGGCCUAGGGCGAAACUGGUGACUGGGGCUAAGUCGUAACAAGGUACC
RNAcentral lists this ribosomal RNA (249 nucleotides) under uncultured bacterium. RNAcentral's name for it is "partial 16S ribosomal RNA". It matches the Rfam family "Bacterial small subunit ribosomal RNA", at positions 1243 to 1500 of the family's 1533-position model. The record is from RNAcentral.